RNAcentral lists this long non-coding RNA (1291 nucleotides) under Nicotiana benthamiana. RNAcentral's name for it is "long non-coding RNA (NBEN_LNC034662)". The record is from RNAcentral. Lineage: Eukaryota; Viridiplantae; Streptophyta; Magnoliopsida; Solanales; Solanaceae.
UGGAUUGAGUCAUUGAAUAAGCAAAAUGAGAAGUUAGGACAAAGUAGGGUUUAAAAAAUAUGUGGGGUUUCAUCCAUUUCAAGGGAUGUAUGGAUAAAAUAGGAAGUUAAUGAUACACAAUCAUGAUGUUGUAUAGCUUUAGGGAGUAGAGGAAUGUGACGACACUAGAAAAGAAAAUGUUGGGUUAAUGGACCACAAUAUACUACUCUUCUCUUCCUUCUACUUGGGCUUUAGUUCCACAGUGUCUAUAUGCUAUAUCAUCUCUUGCCCUAGUUGGUUACUAGGGCAUAAUAACAUUAUAUACAAUCAAUGCAAGUCAAUAUUUUGACCAAAUAAAGCAAGAGGCUUUCUUGGAAGAAAUGAAAGGAAAAAGAAUUUGGGACCACCUUUUUCUUGUGAGAGAUAUCCUCAAACCAAUUGGCUUUGCUUGAUUAAAAUCAAUUUCAAUUUCCAAACACCCCUUUAACCUUCUCUCCUUUUACCCCCAAAACAAUCUCACCAACCAAAAUUAGGGUUUUCAAUAGAAAGUUUCAUGACAGAUUAAAAAAUAAUAAUUUAAAGAGGUGUAAAUGAAUAUAGUAUAAGAUGAAAAAACUCUUUUCUAAAAGUUGAGAAGAGGUUUAGAAAAUUGAAAGUUGAUUUUUAUUUCAGUAAAAUUGAGUGUUGAUGACAAAGUGCAUUAACGUACGAGUAUUGAAGAUAGGUGAUUUAAUAAAAUUGGAUAUUGGUUACAAAGUACGUGAAUGAUUGAUGACAAAGUGCAUCAAAGUUAAUUGAAGACAUGUGCUUUAACAAAAUUGGGUGUUGGUGACAAAGUGAAUCAGUGAUUGGUGACAAAAUGCAUCAACAUGAGUUGAAGACAAGAGCUUCUACAAAAAUUGAAUGUUGGUGAUAAGAGCAUCAACGGUUGGUGAUAAAGUGCAUCAACGUGAGUUGGAGAAAAAUUUUUCAACAAAAUUGGGUUGGUGACAAAGUGCAUCAACGUGAGGUGGAGACAGGUGCUUCAACAAAAUUGAGAGACGAAGACAUGUGCUUCAUCAAACAUAUACAAUUUGAAUUAUGGGAUGUUGGAAACCUAAUUCAACAUUGUAGUAGGAAACUUUAGUUAUUUAGGAUUUAAUUUAUUUAAUUCAUGUCUAAAUAAAAUUAACAGUUAGAACAAAUAUAAGAAUGAACUUUUUGUUUCUAGUUAAAAUAUGUUUUAUAGUAUUAUAAAUAUAGGUUUUGAUAAUUUAUUUUAUGUGUGAAAAAAAGUGAAGGAAAUAAAGAAAUGUAUAAAGAUUAAUCAGAG